Molecule: small RNA, 110 nt
Filed under: Candidatus Nitrospira nitrosa
Lineage: Bacteria; Pseudomonadati; Nitrospirota; Nitrospiria; Nitrospirales; Nitrospiraceae
Also listed under: 1 other name
Description: Guanidine-I riboswitch aptamer
Rfam family: Guanidine-I riboswitch aptamer
About the family: This family represents a conserved RNA structure found upstream of the ykkC and yxkD genes in Bacillus subtilis and related genes in other bacteria. The function of this family is unclear although it has been suggested that it may function to switch on efflux pumps and detoxification systems in response to harmful environmental molecules.
Source: Rfam by way of RNAcentral
CAAAAGGAAAACUAGGGUUCCGGCUUCCUUCCUUAUCGGAUGGAGCGACUGGUCCAAGAGUUUUCGGCCUCGCUAACGAGGCUCCACGGAGGGAUAAAAGCCCGGGAGAU